UCUCCGUAGGUGAACCUGCGGAGGGAUCAUUACAGAGUUCUUGACCUCCGGGUAGAUCUCCAACUAAUUGCUUUAACUCCUCUCGUUGCUUUGGCGGGCCGCUGGGCCCUGCCCGGCCGCCGGCCCCGGCUGGCGCGUGCCCGCCACAGACCCCACAAACUGUGAAUGGUAAUGACGUCCGAGAAACUAUCCAAUCGUUAAAACUUUGAACAACGGAUCAGCUGGUUGUGGCAUCGAUGAACAACACUGCAGACCGGUACAGCAAACGUCUGAACUGCC
This 279-nucleotide unclassified non-coding RNA is filed under the name plant metagenome. RNAcentral's name for it is "partial contains small subunit ribosomal RNA, internal transcribed spacer 1, and 5.8S ribosomal RNA". The record is from RNAcentral.